AUGAACGCUAGCUACAGGCUUAACACAUGCAAGUCGCGGGGCAGCAUGGGGGUUGCUUGCAAUCCCCGAUGGCGACCGGCGCACGGGUGAGUAACGCGUAUCCAACCUGCCCUUCACCACGGGAUAACCCGGCGAAAGUCGGACUAAUACCGUAUGUUGUCCAUUGACGGCAUCCGAUUUGGACGAAAGGCUUGGCGGUGAGGGAUGGGGAUGCGUCCGAUUAGCCAGACGGCGGGGUAACGGCCCACCGUGGCUACGAUCGGUAGGGGUUCUGAGAGGAAGGUCCCCCACACUGGAACUGAGACACGGUCCAGACUCCUACGGGAGGCAGCAGUGAGGAAUAUUGAUCAAUGGGCGUAAGCCUGAACCAGCCAAGUAGCGUGCAGGAUGACGGCCCUAUGGGUUGUAAACUGCUUUUAUGCGGGGAUAAAGUGGCCCACGUGUGGGCUUUUGCAGGUACCGCAUGAAUAAGGACCGGCUAAUUCCGUG
RNAcentral lists this ribosomal RNA (489 nucleotides) under uncultured bacterium. RNAcentral describes it as "partial 16S ribosomal RNA". It matches the Rfam family "Bacterial small subunit ribosomal RNA", at positions 29 to 507 of the family's 1533-position model. The record is from RNAcentral.